AUACAAAAAUGGGCGUAUGACAUUUGCGCCGAUUUUGAAAAUUUUCAUUCUUUCAUUUGCGCCGAUUUCAUUUUUUCAUUUGCGCCGAUUUUAUAUUUUUUCUUAAUUGGAUUUACAGGUAAGUUACAGGUAAGUUCAUACUUUUACAUUGGCUGAGCACAGAGUAUAAAGACAAAUCAAGUGACAUUGCAAUUGGUAAAUGGCUAUCCCAAUGUUUCGGGUUACCAUUCAUUUCCCUAAAUGAAAUCGAUGACUGCUUCACGUUUGACAGUGUCUGACGCUCCUUCUGAUGACAAAUGUCAUAUAUUCUUAGACAACGUACAAGUACACAUUCCAUAACUGUCAACCAAUUCGUGAUGGCGUCCAUAAAAUGAACGAAGGGAUGAUUUCAACUUCACCAUUUGGAACUCUUGGUUUAAUAGCUUCCUUGUGAGAAAAUGCGAACUCUAGAAAUGCCCCCACCAGUACGUAUGCCAGACAAAGAAAAGAGAGCCUUAAUUCGUUAUCGACAAUUACGCCAAAUAUAGAAGAGACGAAAUCAUAAGAAAGGAAUAUAUUAGAUGUGUUGCCUAUACAUACUCGGCAAGAACAGAUUUAUGAUUUGAAUGUAUUCCGUUUUUAUGGAUUUGAAUGCUGUACAUAUAUUUUUAAUUCGUCAUUUUAGUUUAAACAAAGUGCUUUUAUCUUAGGUUUUUACUUCUUGAUUUUACGCAGGAGACAACAGUUAUAUACGUGUUAUGAUUGACAAUUCAUAACAUAUGUACAACUGACUAACGGAAGAGGUCUUUAAUGAUAAAUGAAAAUAACAUUACUGGGAUGGAGAGUUGUCUCAUUGGCACUCGUACCACAUCUUCUUAUAUCAUUCAGUGUUCCAGCUAGCAUGAAAUGGAGGGGCGCCGCGCCCCGCCCCCGAAAUUUUGCGCCCCUCUGCCUUUUUUAAGCGCCCCUGUGCCCCUCUGUGCCCUUUUGAAAAAAAGUUUAAAAAACGAUCUUUUUUCCUCAUAUCGUCGCCAUUUUGUUGAGUUCUUUAUACACACUUCAUUAAGACAACAGAUUAAAAUUGUUGACACUUGUUACCUGAUUAUAAUCACCUAUUUGAUUAGAAUCAAUUACUUAAUCAGGUGAAAUUUACGACCCUGUCUAAUCCCUUUACCCUGAAGCACCAAAC
This 1168-nucleotide long non-coding RNA is filed under the name Mytilus galloprovincialis (Mediterranean mussel). The record is from RNAcentral. Lineage: Eukaryota; Metazoa; Mollusca; Bivalvia; Mytilida; Mytilidae.